RNAcentral lists this long non-coding RNA (1037 nucleotides) under Homo sapiens (human). Its description in RNAcentral is "HSALNT0122832". Lineage: Eukaryota; Metazoa; Chordata; Mammalia; Primates; Hominidae. The record is from RNAcentral.
UAUAAAUAUUAAUCAUGUAACAUCCUUUCAGGAAGGAGCCAUUCAUAUUACCCUUUGACGGAUGAGGAAAAUUGAUAUAUGGCAAGAAAAGUGGCAGAGCUGAUGUUUGAAACUCAAAUUUCAGAGACAGAAUCUCCCUUUGGUACCCAGGCUGGCCUCGAAUUCCUAAGCUCAAACAAUCCUCCUGCCUCAGCCUCCUAGAAGAUAGGACUAUAAGCAUCACUUGGAUUGGUACAUCCCCAUCUUUGGAGGAAGUCUGCGAUGAAGCCUUGUGUAAGUCAGUCACAGUGUUAAACUGAACCCAGGAGAUUUCACAGGUAUUCAAUUGACCCAGCACCAUUUAUUGAAAAGGCUAUCCUCUUACUGAAAUGCAGCAAAGUUGUUGUCUUAAAUCAGGUCAUCAAACAUUUGAUUUCAAGUGCAGAAUCAAAGACAUAUAACCAUAAUAAAAUGCAAAAUCACAAGCCCUCAGAAUCAGAAGGGAUGUCAAGGAAAAUGCCUUCCCUCUCUCCACCUCUCUGAAUGCAGAACACUGAAGCUUCUGUGCAUCUGGUGAGCACGUGGUACAGAAUUGCAAGUUUCAUGAGCCCUGAUUAACUUCUCAUAGAGGCUGGCUGUGUUAGACUUUUGCUAAGGCCAAGAGUUUUAUUUUGUUCUAUCCUAUUUCAUUAUUAUAAAAAUCUGGAGAGUUGCUUAUUAUUAUGAACUCCUGUUUGAAGAUAUGGAAAUGAGGAAAAUGAAGACCUAUGGUACUUUUUUAAAAGUGAUACUAUAAAUAAGGAAUAAAAUGUGAAGUUGUGUGGUUGCCUGGAGUUCUUCUGCUUCCCUCAUCCAUAUCAACACAUACAAAUAAAUAAACUCCUGAGUACAUUCAUAUUCUAGGUAUUAAUACUGUUUCACCAAUUAUACACAGCAAGCUCAACAUAGCCAUCUUUCUUCAUCCAUAAUUUUUUCAGUGAUAAAUUUUCGUCAGUGAUGAAAGGCUCAGCUGGAAAAUUCUGCUUAAGAUCUCUCACAUAAUUGUAGUUAGAUAUUGG